This 217-nucleotide long non-coding RNA is filed under the name Elaeis guineensis (African oil palm). RNAcentral's name for it is "long non-coding RNA (EGUI_LNC021259)". The record is from RNAcentral. Lineage: Eukaryota; Viridiplantae; Streptophyta; Magnoliopsida; Arecales; Arecaceae.
GAUGCAAUGCAAGAAUUAAAAGUAAGUCAACAAAGCAUAACAUAAAGAUAAAUAAUUUAUAGUGGUUCAAUGCAACUCUACACCUAUGUUCACUCCUCAAGCUCUACUUGAGAAUUUUGCUAUAAUUAUCCUGAUUAUAGUGUGAUUUUUUUAUCUGAGCUCCUAAUUAAAUCUAGUAUUGAGUUUUGACAUCUCAAAUUCGAUUCACAGUAGCCUA